RNAcentral lists this ribosomal RNA (392 nucleotides) under uncultured Alphaproteobacteria bacterium. Its description in RNAcentral is "bacterial SSU rRNA". It matches the Rfam family "Bacterial small subunit ribosomal RNA", at positions 370 to 779 of the family's 1533-position model. The record is from RNAcentral. Lineage: Bacteria; Pseudomonadati; Pseudomonadota; Alphaproteobacteria.
AAUGGGGGCAACCCUGAUCCAACCAUGCCGCGUGAGUGAAGAAGGCCCUAGGGUUGUAAAGCUCUUUCGCCAGGGAAGAUAAUGACGGUACCUGGUAAAGAAGUCCCGGCUAACUCCGUGCCAGCAGCCGCGGUAAUACGGAGGGGACUAGCGUUGUUCGGAAUUACUGGGCGUAAAGAGUACGUAGGCGGCUCUGCAAGUUGGGUGUGAAAGCCCGGGGCUCAACCCCGGAACUGCAUUCAAAACUGUGGGGCUAGAGAUCGGAAGAGGUAAGUGGAAUUCCCAGUGUAGAGGUGAAAUUCGUAGAUAUUGGGAAGAACACCGGUGGCGAAGGCGACUUACUGGUCCGAUACUGACGCUGAGGUACGAAAGCGUGGGGAGCAAACAGGAUU